Molecule: long non-coding RNA, 3491 nt
Organism: Neofelis nebulosa (Clouded leopard)
Lineage: Eukaryota; Metazoa; Chordata; Mammalia; Carnivora; Felidae
Exons: 3
Source: RefSeq, a predicted model, not a curated record
CGACGACGGGGAAACCGAGGGUCUGAGAGGUGGAGGCGCUCCAUCCAGCAAAGGCCUGGUUUGGAGAUUUCAGAGUUGCUAUGAGUGAUCCCUGCCCCUGCUUCCUGGAGCACAGGUGUGAGUUCCUCGAGGGGCACACCCAUCCAUCUGCCAGAUCCUACUGAAUCGAGUUCCAACUCCUCAAGAAAGCGAUGCCAGGAGUCAGGCUGUUUAAGCUGCAAUCCCACUGGUGCACUUUGGGACCCAGGACCAGCCACCCUUCUCCGGGCCCUACUCUCCUCCUUGCUCCCCUCAGACCCGCUGCCAGCACCUCCAUCAUCUCUGCCUGCCAGCCUGCCUGCCUUCAUCCGCGGAGGAGAGACACGGCUGGAGGCUGAGAGAGGCGGCUUCGCGGGGCCCGGCCGCAAGAGGCCGCGUUACCUGUAUACCCAGGUGUGCACACGCAGCCACGCGCAAGGUAGAUAGCAGCGUGGAGCGGAAACCCCCACACACCUACGAAAAGACCCAGCUGCCCAGUAGGGUUUAUGCCAGGGAUGCAAACCCGUUUCAGACAAAGUAGCCACGGGAUUCAUGCCGUUAACCGGUUGACGGAACGUGGUGUGGGUGUCUCCGUAAAUGCUGAAACGGUGUACGAAACAUGCCCUCACCCAGGCUCCAGAAAAGAGAAAGGAGCUAGAUAGAAGGUGCAAAGCCAGGGCAGGGAGCGUGAGGGAAGCGGGGACUGAGGCAGGAGAGGACGAGGCGCCGUGGGUUGUUGUCAUGUGGCUCGCUGUUUCUUGGAAAAGCACAGCAAGUGAUUGGCCAACGGGGCUGCUCAGCCCUCAGGGAGCCUCCAGAUGGACAUGCCUCCGGGCAGUCUAUCAGAGGAGGAAAGAUGGGAUCCAUCAGCCCAGCUCCCUCCUCAGCUUCCGUUUCCCAUUGGCCAAAGUUCCCCUCCCGGAUUCAUUCUCCUGCAUUUCCAGUUGCCUUGUGAAAGCCAUUGGCAGCUUCUUAGGAACCCAUGCCUUAUCGUGUGGUCUUUGUCCUAAGUCCAGAAAUGGCCAGAGAAGCCAGAGACUCUGGGCUUGUAGCUGAUUGGCGUUGGGCAGCAGAAUCGCACAGGCCCACAUGGAGUCUCUUGGCCGCCGUGGUGGCUGGAGCAGAGCAAACAGCUGAAGUCUGGGAAGCAGGGGAGUCCAAGAGAAUCUGUAGUUCCUAAAAGUGUUACAUAUGAUUGAUCUCAACUUCCAUUUCUGAUAAAAAAAAAAAAACUCAUCAAGCCACAUCCUUAUUGAUGAAAUAUUAAAAAGACCCCCCUUUCAAUUCGGGACUGAGAUAAAGUUAUCCAGGGUCGUCACCGCUACCCAACCUUAGACCUCAGGUGUAGCCAACGUAAUAAGACAAGAAAAAAAAUUAAAGUUUAAUGUCGGGGGAGGAAGAGACAAGUUUGUCAUUAUGUAUGUACGUAAUAUGACUGUCUCCCUUAAAAAUGCAAAAGAAGCAGCCGACGAACUAAUUAACAAGACACGUUAUGUGCAAAUCAUGAUGGCUUCUUCUCCCCUCCCCUUUUACAUCCGAUGUUCCAAGAAAACUCACCUGUUCUGUUCCUUGCACCUGCGCUCUGUGGUUUCCCGACUCUGGACCUUUACCUCACCUUGAUCUUCUUGCAUUUUCUGAGCUCUUCUUUCCUAUAGAAAUUGGGACUAUAUUAGUGUUGCUUUGAAGUUGGUACCGAACAAGUUGACAUUAUAUGUGUAUGUACCCCUACUCUUAGCAAACUACCCAGCCCAUGACAGAGGAUACCAGUCAGUAUUAUUCCUUAUCUCCUUGUCCCUAACACCUAGGACAGUGCCCAAAAUAUAACCGGAGUUCAAAAGUUGCUUGAUGAAUGACUUCCAUUUAAAACCAUUCAGCAAAUAUUUCUUGAGAGCUUCCGUGUGCAGAGCGAUGUCCCAGGUGCUAGGGACGCAAGGAUGAGCAAGAUUCAAACCCAGUCUCCUCCAGCUCAAGGGUGUCAGAGGAAUAUAAAGAAAGACAAGAAGCCCAAAUGUAGAGAAAGUCAGACCCAAGCCCACUGAAGUCACCCUCACAAUCCCCCGGGGUUAUCCUUGUAGAGAAGUCAGCAUAAGGCAUAGAAUCUUAGGCCAUCGGGUCCUUAGAGAGGCGAGGUCAAGAGUCGACAGCCCUGAGUUCAGAUCCUGGCUCCUGCCUUCAUCAUUUGGGUGAACUCAGGGACAUUGUCUCCUCUCAUUAAGUUUUGGUUCUUCUUCUGUAGGAUGGGGGUAAUAGCACUUACCAUGCAGGGUUGCUCUGGGGUAAGUUGAGGUCACCAAAUGAAAAGAAUAUGGCACAUCACCCGGUGUCUACUGAGCUAACAUCCACCCCACCCUCAACUCCUGCUGAUGGGGAACGGGAGGCAUCACGAGUCCCACCAGGCCGUAACCAGGUCAGACCUCCUGGCUCCAAGGCUGUGUUCAUCUUGGGACUUCCCGGCUCCCGGCCAGCUCUGACAUCUUGAGAGCCUACAGAAAGUUCAGGAAGGUGAGCCAAGUGGUUUCCGCAGGCCCUCACCAGCUAAUACUGAGCCAGUGCAAGCCUGGAUCACAGGUGCCAUGGGUUAGAUCAAGGCAGCCCUUCGUCAUUUCUGCUCCACUCUAGGAACCUCUGCAUCUCCCUCCUUCCAGGCAAAGCGUCAGGUACCUUGAGUCCCCUUGCUUGGCUGACAUCCCCCACCUAGACUUCACCAGUCCCAGCCCCCUUGGAAAUAAGGGACAUCAGAGCACACAGGGUUUUCCUUCUCUUACCCCAAAGCACCUCCCCAAAACAGAUAUUCUUACUGAGGAAUAUCUCUCUGUACUGGCAUGGGCAGAUACAUUAAGUGAAGAUAAAUUAAGUGAAAAAUUGGAAAAUGCCACAACGCUGCUCGGUCCAACCCUACUUUUUAAAAAUAGACACCUGAAAAAGAAAACGCUGCAGAAAUAUUAACCCACAGGUUCCCACUGGUUAUGUCUAAGGGGGGCAUUAGAGUGGAUGUUCUAUAUUACAUGUUCCUAUAACGUUUUCAUUUGCAUUGCAUUGCUAAUCAGGAAUAAUAGAUUGUUUGAAAAGAGAAAGGGGUUCUUGAGACCUUGGCCAGCAUGAGAGGUCAGGAGGGCUGCCAGGGAAAAGUUCUAGAGCAUUCCAUUCUAGAGUCAGAGAGACCACCUGCCCCAGGCUGGGAAAAUGCCAGCCUUCAGUGGAGGACUGAGUCGGCCUGGAGCAGAAAAGAAAAUCGAUCAUCUCCUUCCUUAAAAAUAUAGGUCUGUUUCCUGGGGCACCUGGGUGGUUCGGUCGGUUAAGCAUCUGACUUCGGCUCAGGUCUGAUCUCACUCGUUCGUGAGUUCGAGGCCCACAUCAGGCUCUGUGCUGAGGGCUUGGAACCUGGAGCCUGCUUCAGAUUCUGUCUCCCUCUCUCUCUGACCCUCCCCCGCUCACACUCUGUGUGUGUGUGUGUGUGUGUGUGUGUGUGUGUC